CGGGGGCAACCCUGGUGGCGAGUGGCGAACGGGUGACUAAUACAUCGGAACGUGCCCAGUCGUGGGGGAUAACGUAGCGAAAGCUACGCUAAUACCGCAUACGAACUCUGGUUGAAAGCGGGGGAUCGCAAGACCUCGCGCGAUUGGAGCGGCCGAUGGCAGAUUAGGUAGUUGGUGGGGUAAAGGCCUACCAAGCCGACGAUCUGUAGCUGGUCUGAGAGGACGACCAGCCACACUGGGACUGAGACACGGCCCAAACUCCUACGGGAGGCAGCAGUGGGGAAUUUUGGACAAUGGGCGCAAGCCUGAUCCAGCCAUUCCGCGUGCAGGAUGAAGGCCCUCGGGUUGUAAACUGCUUUUGUACGGAACGAAAAGGCCUGAGUUAAUACCUCGGGCUCAUGACGGUACCGUAAGAAUAAGCACCGGCUAACUACGUGCCAGCAGCCGCGGUAAUACGUAGGGUGCAAGCGUUAAUCGGAAUUACUGGGCGUAAGCGUGCGCAGGCGGUGAUGUAAGACAGGUGUGAAUCCCCGGGCUUAACCUGGGAACUGCAUUUGUGACUGCAUCGCUGAUGCGGCAAGGGAUGAAUUCCCGUG
Molecule: ribosomal RNA, 596 nt
Filed under: uncultured Comamonadaceae bacterium
Lineage: Bacteria; Pseudomonadati; Pseudomonadota; Betaproteobacteria; Burkholderiales; Comamonadaceae
Description: bacterial SSU rRNA
Rfam family: Bacterial small subunit ribosomal RNA
Source: RNAcentral